AAAUUGAAGAGUUUGAUCAUGGCUCAGAUUGAACGCUGGCGGCAGGCCUAACACAUGCAAGUCGAACGGUAACAGGAAGCAGCUUGCUGCUUCGCUGACGAGUGGCGGACGGGUGAGUAAUGUCUGGGAAACUGCCUGAUGGAGGGGGAUAACUACUGGAAACGGUAGCUAAUACCGCAUAACGUCGCAAGACCAAAGAGGGGGACCUUCGGGCCUCUUGCCAUCGGAUGUGCCCAGAUGGGAUUAGCUUGUUGGUGGGGUAACGGCUCACCAAGGCGACGAUCCCUAGCUGGUCUGAGAGGAUGACCAGCCACACUGGAACUGAGACACGGUCCAGACUCCUACGGGAGGCAGCAGUGGGGAAUAUUGCACAAUGGGCGCAAGCCUGAUGCAGCCAUGCCGCGUGUAUGAAGAAGGCCUUCGGGUUGUAAAGUACUUUCAGCGGGGAGGAAGGGAGUAAAGUUAAUACCUUUGCUCAUUGACGUUACCCGCAGAAGAAGCACCGGCUAACUCCGU
RNAcentral lists this ribosomal RNA (516 nucleotides) under Escherichia coli. RNAcentral's name for it is "bacterial SSU rRNA". It matches the Rfam family "Bacterial small subunit ribosomal RNA", at positions 1 to 506 of the family's 1533-position model. The record is from RNAcentral. RNAcentral also lists the same sequence under 1 other name. Lineage: Bacteria; Pseudomonadati; Pseudomonadota; Gammaproteobacteria; Enterobacterales; Enterobacteriaceae.